GACGAACGCUGGCGGCGUGCUUAACACAUGCAAGUCGAACGAUGAAGCGCCAGCUUGCUGGUGUGGAUUAGUGGCGAACGGGUGAGUAACACGUGAGUAACCUGCCCCCUACUCUGGGAUAAGCCUGGGAAACUGGGUCUAAUACUGGAUAUGACCAAUCACUGCAUGGUGUGUUGGUGGAAAGAUUUUUUGGUGGGGGAUGGACUCGCGGCCUAUCAGCUUGUUGGUGGGGUAAUGGCCUACCAAGGCGACGACGGGUAGCCGGCCUGAGAGGGCGACCGGCCACACUGGGACUGAGACACGGCCCAGACUCCUACGGGAGGCAGCAGUGGGGAAUAUUGCACAAUGGGCGAAAGCCUGAUGCAGCGACGCCGCGUGAGGGAUGACGGCCUUCGGGUUGUAAACCUCUUUCACCAGGGACGAAGCUAACGUGACGGUACCUGGAGAAGAAGCAUCGGCUAACUACGUG
This 469-nucleotide ribosomal RNA is filed under the name uncultured bacterium. RNAcentral's name for it is "partial 16S ribosomal RNA". It matches the Rfam family "Bacterial small subunit ribosomal RNA", at positions 28 to 507 of the family's 1533-position model. The record is from RNAcentral.